UGACGUUCCUGCAUUACUGAGGGGACCAAUUCCACAAAGAAGCUCAACAUGUUGAAGACACGGGACAAAAAAUCAACCAUGGAUAAGAAGAAGUCACAUGGAUGACAGGACAGACAAGGGGGAAGGAGGAGACAAGAACAAUGACACCAGAGAGACAGUACAGUCAGUGCAGAACAGAUGCUGUCGUCUGCAGAGGAAGGAAGCAAAGUAUUUUGAAGGCACGAAAGUCUACAGAUUGUACCUCCCACUCUCCGUCUGUCUGUCCACGUGU
Molecule: long non-coding RNA, 271 nt
Organism: Solea senegalensis (Senegalese sole)
Lineage: Eukaryota; Metazoa; Chordata; Actinopteri; Pleuronectiformes; Soleidae
Exons: 3
Source: RefSeq, a predicted model, not a curated record